AUAUGAUAUGGGACAAAAUACAGCACUUAAAGAGAGGUGUUGCUCAGGCCAGCCACUAUAAUCCACCCAUCAGCCAGAACAUUUUAUUUCUUCUAAAUGGCACUUGAGCAACAUUGGUUUCUUUGAAAAGAAUGAACUUGAGAAUGCAACUCCCAGGACCAGAAAAGAAUGAAACUGGGCCAGUGCUUGCAUGGUCCUGCUGCUGCUCACUGCACUUUGCUUCAAAUUCUUACAUUUGCUCUCAUUUCUACAUGGCAGGUACUUGGUUCUCUCUCUCUUUCUCCCUCUUUCUCUGUGUGUGUUUAUAAUUUUUUUUUUUUUUUAACAGAGAAUUAAAACUAAACUAAAAAUUUUUUUUUUCCUUUUUUUGAGGUAAGGUCUCACUCUUCUGCCCAGACUGGAGUGAGUGGCACGAUCAUGGCUCACUACAGCCUUGACUUCCUGGGCUCAAGCAGUCCUCCCACCUCAUCCUCCCCAGUAGCUGGGACCAUAGGUCCACACCAUUGUGCCUGGCUUUUUUUUUUUUUUGGUAGUAACCCGGGUCUCACUAUGUUGCCCAGGCUGGUCUUGAACUCCUAGUUCAAGCAGUCCUCUCACCUUGGCCUCCCAAAGUGCUGAGAUUACAGGCAUGAGCCACCCAGCCCUGCACUGAAAGUUUUUUAAAAUUAAACUGAAGGCUGAGCCUACUCAAGAUCAUGUACCUAGUCACUGGGAAGGUGACUGGUUCAGUGUAUGCAUUUUGAGGAUCAAAGCAUCAGCACAGAGUACCCAAUAGGCUGUUUAAAAAAAUAAAAAUAAAUAAAAAAAAACCAAUAGGACAGGGCUUUCUAAAAACCCAACAACCAGAUAUAGGGAACAUUCAGAAAUAAAUAUCUGCCCCCAAACUGCCAGCCUCUCAGACUUUCAAAUGGAAUGAGGAUAUGCAGGUUAAGUUUCUCCUCUCUUAUCAUUCAUCUUCCAAUCUUCAGUUGAGUGUAGGUUA
This 982-nucleotide long non-coding RNA is filed under the name Homo sapiens (human). Its description in RNAcentral is "non-protein coding lnc-PLPP4-8:1". Lineage: Eukaryota; Metazoa; Chordata; Mammalia; Primates; Hominidae. The record is from RNAcentral.